GAUGAACGCUCGCUACAGGCUUAACACAUGCAAGUCGAGGGGAAACGGCAUUGAGUGCUUGCACUCUUUGGACGUCGACCGGCGCACGGGGGAGUAACGCGUAUCCAACCUUCCCAUUACUGUGGGAUAACCUGCCGAAAGGCAGACUAAUACCGCAUAGUCUUCGAUGACGGCAUCAGAUUUGAAGUAAAGAUUUAUCGGUAAUGGAUGGGGAUGCGUCUGAUUAGCUUGUUGGCGGGGUAACGGCCCACCAAGGCGACGAUCAGUAGGGGUUCUGAGAGGAAGGUCCCCCACAUUGGAACUGAGACACGGUCCAAACUCCUACGGGAGGCAGCAGUGAGGAAUAUUGGUCAAUGGACGGAAGUCUGAACCAGCCAAGUAGCGUGCAGGAUGACGGCCCUAUGGGUUGUAAACUGCUUUUGUAUGGGGAUAAAGUUAGGGACGUGUCCCUAUUUGCAGGUACCAUACGAAUAAGGACCGGCUAAUUCCGUG
Molecule: ribosomal RNA, 492 nt
Filed under: uncultured bacterium
Lineage: Bacteria
Description: partial 16S ribosomal RNA
Rfam family: Bacterial small subunit ribosomal RNA
Source: RNAcentral